This 1434-nucleotide ribosomal RNA is filed under the name Triticum aestivum (bread wheat). Its description in RNAcentral is "partial small subunit ribosomal RNA". The record is from RNAcentral. Lineage: Eukaryota; Viridiplantae; Streptophyta; Magnoliopsida; Poales; Poaceae.
UACCAGAAACUUAGUUCGCUAGUACGAGCGUUCUUAGUCAUGUCGCCGUGACAUCGUUCGGACCCCGGGCCCCGCAGAGCGACCCGACCGAGGCGGGGACCAUCGUACAUACAUUCUCGAACGACGUGGGACACGGUCGAGUGGGCUCAAGCUCAGGACCGAGUCUACGCGCCACGAGCACCUCAAAGAGAAUAUUUUUACGGUUGCUCCCAAUCGGAAAGCCAAUCGUGUUACCGGCCGACCUCCUUCCGCACCGACAGGCACGACCUGGCCUUGCCGCCGCCGCCGCCCCCGUCGUCGCCGAGGGAGGGCCGCGUGGAGUUGCCGGAGGAGAGGAGCAGGAGGAGGAGGAGGAGGAGGAGGAGGAGGGAGCGGUGGCGGGUGUUGCAUGAGCGGAUGGAGGGGCAGGUGAUGGGGCACUGGUCCGACGGGGUAGGUGGGUUCGGCCUACGUUAAGUUUUAAGUUGCGUCGACGUCGACGUAGCUGGCCGCCUUGGUGCAGGAGGGGUAGCGGCGCGGACCUAGAGUUCUAAAGAAGUACUAAGUGGUUACUUAGAGCUCCUUCCCCUCCUCCUGCUGCUCACACCCCCGUCUCCCUGUAUACCGCAAUGGCUAAGAGGAAGGAGUUCAAGACGUAGAGUUCAAGUACAGGGCCUAUAACUGUUGUGGCUGUCAGUGUCUCUUGGGGGUAGACUUAGCGUCGCGUGAGGUUGAGGCACCGGAGUUUCUUAAAAACAAUAACUCCUCAACAGCCAACUACAAUGUUCUGGAGGGCAAUACUAGUCGCUAGUAUUUGUAUCAGACUGAGCCGUUCUAUGGGCUGGUGGCGCGGAGUAAUAACCCUUCCUUUUCACGAAACCUCUUCCGGUACUCUUUAAUGCGUCUAGCCCGUUUCGGAUGUUAGAGAGCACGCCACAGGCACCUGUCGAAAACAAGUAAUGGGAACUUCACGCAGGGUCCAGCCUCUAGCGGUCUCCUCCUUCUGCCGCCGCUCACAAGGAUGUGCAGCGAAGAAGCAGGAGUUCGGUUCUACCUCUCUUUAGACGAUCACUGCGUCUUAGACUUCAAGGCCUCCGGUGCGGUCUGAAGACCGGAAGGUUGAGGCACCAAGCCUUCCUUUGGAUAACCACCGACUACCAACAUCCCACCGAACCCAAUGUUCUACUCCAGCGUUGACUUGACGUACUGGUUCUAUACGGACAGUAUGGUCCUCGUUGAUAAGAUAGUUCGAGUUACUUACAUCAUGGUGCGUUCUCCCCAGCUUCAUCCGGUUACUUGCGUUCUCGUUUCGAUCCAAUACUCUUACAGUCGUUCCCUUCUAGUUUCAAAACAAGAUAAACGUCUCCCAGUUACGUGAAACUUGGUUACACAGACCAUGUAGUGGUAUACAUGGGGCUUAUACCUAGAGAACGUGAACUGGUACUUCUCGAAAUU